RNAcentral lists this ribosomal RNA (334 nucleotides) under Escherichia coli. RNAcentral describes it as "bacterial LSU rRNA". It matches the Rfam family "Bacterial large subunit ribosomal RNA", at positions 2031 to 2364 of the family's 2925-position model. Lineage: Bacteria; Pseudomonadati; Pseudomonadota; Gammaproteobacteria; Enterobacterales; Enterobacteriaceae. The record is from RNAcentral.
GCUCAGUGAAAUUGAACUCGCUGUGAAGAUGCAGUGUACCCGCGGCAAGACGGAAAGACCCCGUGAACCUUUACUAUAGCUUGACACUGAACAUUGAGCCUUGAUGUGUAGGAUAGGUGGGAGGCUUGGAAGUGUGGACGCCAGUCUGCAUGGAGCCGACCUUGAAAUACCACCCUUUAAUGUUUGAUGUUCUAACGUUGACCCGUAAUCCGGGUUGCGGACAGUGUCUGGUGGGUAGUUUGACUGGGGCGGUCUCCUCCUAAAGAGUAACGGAGGAGCACGAAGGUUGGCUAAUCCUGGUCGGACAUCAGGAGGUUAGUGCAAUGGCAUAAGC